Homo sapiens (human) is the source of this 1176-nucleotide long non-coding RNA. Ensembl annotates it as long intergenic non-protein coding RNA 616. Lineage: Eukaryota; Metazoa; Chordata; Mammalia; Primates; Hominidae. The record is from Ensembl.
UGUGAAGCCACCGAAAGGAGACUCAUGCAGGUGAAUCCCUGGGUGAUGCUCUUCUGUCUGGACAUCUGGUAGCUGCUGAAAACAAUAGCUAUCAACUCAAAGAGUUUUAUCCAAAACAACUGAUGUAGAAGCUGCAGUUUGCCUCCACCUCUGAAGAAGCACAAUACACCUUUCUGGGUUACCAAUGGGAUACUUCCCAACAGCUUUGUCAUCACAUACAAUAUUCUCAAACAAGAUCUUAAUGGCAUCUACUUUCUCCAGGAACACAGCCCCUGACCUGUGUGUGUUUGCGUAGAGAAGGCAUGCUAUGUACCCCCUAGGAUAUCAAGAUUCCUGUAGCAGAUUGAGCUCUGGCAGUUGAUCUCAGUGGCUUGAUAGAGUGUCAUUAUAAAAACGCACCUGGAAGAUUCUGUGGAAAAGACAACCUCAGAAGACCAAGAGGCUGACUUUGCAAGAGAGAGUCCGUUUACCACUUAGAACCGUGAACACCACCCCCGCCCUCAUUUAUCUCCAGACUUGAACUAGUGGUUAAAUCCCAACAUGUCCCAGAGAAGUCAAAAGCAUUGUAAAAUCUGGGAAUCUGCCCACCACUCAAGCCUGGGAAAGCUGGCAGAGGAUGCACGUGUUUUACUCACCUGAGUGUUUACAAUGCUCGUGAGGUGCCUCCCUGAUAGUACAGAGGAAUGAAGAAGGAAUAAACAGACCUUCUGGAUAAUUGCAUCAGCCUUCCCCACUAUUCCAAUGCCAUGCUAACAUUUCAAGUAAUGUCCCUUUUGUCUUGCUGAGAAAAAAUCAUUUCAUGAUUUAUUACACUGGAUUAAAGGCUAUGCACACUCUGGAGUUGGAACAUGACUGAAGGGCAAGCAAGCAUAAAGGAUAUCAGAAACAGUUGAUGUGUUUAAAUUUUUCUGAAUUUCUCAAGUAAACUUUUUAGAAAGUAGUCUGAAGAUAAAAUGGUUAUAUAAGUUACUUAAACUGUAGAUGAUGGCACCUUUAUCCCUAUAUAAUAAAAUUAAGAUUUGUAGGUUAAACCUUGGAUAUUCCCAUCUGAGCAUCUGUACCAAACAGAAAAGACCUGUGUGAGUUCCUGAGAACCAGUGCUCAUUCCAGAAGAGACAGGUUUCUCUCCAGGAAGAAAUGUCUGAAAUUCAGUGAAUUAAAAUCCUCAUUGAGUCU